RNAcentral lists this ribosomal RNA (332 nucleotides) under uncultured Glomeraceae. Its description in RNAcentral is "partial large subunit ribosomal RNA". The record is from RNAcentral. Lineage: Eukaryota; Fungi; Glomeromycota; Glomeromycetes; Glomerales; Glomeraceae.
CAGUCAUACCAACGGGAAAUCAACCUUUUGAGCUCGGUCUCGUGGGUUUUGAAGAGUUUCAAAGCCUUCGGAUUCGCGAGAUUGGGAUCUCUCGGUGUACUUUCUCGUACGGUUAGUCAACAUCGGUUUUGAAUGUCAUAAAAUGACUGGAGGAAUGUAGCUUCGAUCUCGUAUUGAAGUGUUAUAGCCUUUGGUAGAUGUGAUGUUUGAGACCGAGGAUUGCAACGGAUACCCUUCAGGGCUAUUCGUCUGAUCUCUGAUACGUUGCCCUGAUGUUGAAAGCUUGCUUAUGAUGUUAGGGUAUUACGGUCAAAAGGUUAGAACGAAUUACA